AGGCCUAAAGAAUAGCUCUAAAAUCUUGGCUUAGGUGCGACUUGGAGAAUCACCUUUGUUAAUCAGUGGGAGUUGCCCAGGUCUUUCAAACUGAGGGUUGGGAGAGAACAUAAAGAUCUCUAAAUCCCUGGAUCCGGGAGAACCGAUGUGCAGUGUUGCAGCUGUAGAAAACAAUGCUGUGUUUUAUUGGGUGCUUGACAUCUGCUGGGAGAGUGGAUCUUAACCUAAACAAAAUGAAGGACAAAAGGCAAAACUCUAAGGCUAUUUCAAGAUUGGAAUUUGAAGAGUUUACAUGUGUUUUCUCUUGGAAGAUGAGAACACAAGCAGCAGGCAGACGCAGAGGACGUGUUUUGAAUGUUUGCUGUGCUGGGGAAGCUGUGGACAAAGGCAAGCUGACUCAUCUUCGAGUGGACUGGGAUUGGUCCUUGUGACUAAUAAUGUACUUAUGUUCUCCCUCAUGGCUGGCUUGUCCCUCUCCUUCCUGGAUCAGCAUGACUUUAUCCCCUCUUAGUAUUUAAGAAUGUCACUGUAUAUAUUUUUAUGAUGGCUUCUUUCAUUUAUAUUGUUAAUUUUACAUUAUUAAAUUUCAGUUAAAACUA
Molecule: long non-coding RNA, 599 nt
Organism: Alexandromys fortis (reed vole)
Lineage: Eukaryota; Metazoa; Chordata; Mammalia; Rodentia; Cricetidae
Exons: 2
Source: RefSeq, a predicted model, not a curated record